Molecule: ribosomal RNA, 253 nt
Filed under: uncultured bacterium
Lineage: Bacteria
Description: partial 16S ribosomal RNA
Rfam family: Bacterial small subunit ribosomal RNA
Source: RNAcentral
UACGUAGGUGGCGAGCGUUGUCCGGAUUUACUGGGCGUAAAGGGCGUGCAGGCGGUUUGUUAAGUGCAGGGUGAAAGCUCCCGGCUCAACUGGGAGAGGUCCUUGCAUACUGGCGAACUCGAGGGAGGCAGAGGAAAGUGGAAUUCCAGGUGUAGCGGUGAAAUGCGUAGAUAUCUGGAGGAACACCGGUGGCGAAGGCGGCAUCCUGGACCGGCAUUGACGCUGAGGAGCGAAAGCCAGGGGAGCAAACGGG